Molecule: ribosomal RNA, 253 nt
Filed under: uncultured Desulfobulbus sp.
Lineage: Bacteria; Pseudomonadati; Thermodesulfobacteriota; Desulfobulbia; Desulfobulbales; Desulfobulbaceae
Description: partial 16S ribosomal RNA
Rfam family: Bacterial small subunit ribosomal RNA
Source: RNAcentral
UGGGCACUCUAAAGGGACGUGCCGGUGUUAAACCGGAGGAAGGUGGGGAGUGACGUCAAGUCCUCAUGGCCUUUAUGACCAGGGCUACACACGUACUACAAUGGCCGAUACAAAGGGCAGCGACACUGCGAGGUGAAGCCAAUCCCGUAAAAUCGGUCUCAGUCCGGAUUGGAGUCUGCAACUCGACUCCAUGAAGUUGGAAUCGCUAGUAAUCGUGGAUCAGCAUGCCACGGUGAAUACGUUCCCGGGCCUU